GGUGAACGCUGGCGGUGGGCCUAACACAUGCCAGUCGAACGGCAGCACAGUAAGAGCUUGCUCUUACGGGUGGCGAGUGGCGGACGGGUGAGGAAUACAUCGGAAUCUACUUUUUCGUGGGGGAUAACGUAGGGAAACUUACGCUAAUACCGCAUACGACCUACGGGUGAAAGCAGGGGAUCUUCGGACCUUGCGCGAUUGAAUGAGCCGAUGUCGGAUUAGCUAGUUGGCGGGGUAAAGGCCCACCAAGGCGACGAUCCGUAGCUGGUCUGAGAGGAUGAUCAGCCACACUGGAACUGAGACACGGUCCAGACUCCUACGGGAGGCAGCAGUGGGGAAUAUUGGACAAUGGGCGCAAGCCUGAUCCAGCCAUACCGCGUGGGUGAAGAAGGCCUUCGGGUUGUAAAGCCCUUUUGUUGGGAAAGAAAAGCAGCAGGUUAAUACCCCGCUGUUCUGACGGUACCCAAAGAAUAAGCACCGGCUAACUUCGUG
This 492-nucleotide ribosomal RNA is filed under the name uncultured bacterium. RNAcentral describes it as "partial 16S ribosomal RNA". It matches the Rfam family "Bacterial small subunit ribosomal RNA", at positions 28 to 507 of the family's 1533-position model. The record is from RNAcentral.